UAGGGAAUCUUCCGCAAUGGGCGAAAGCUUGACGGAGCAACGCCGCGUGAGUGAUGAAGGUCUUCGGAUCGUAAAACUCUGUUAUUAGGGAAGAACAAAUGUGUAAGUAACUAUGCACGUCUUGACGGUACCUAAUCAGAAAGCCACGGCUAACUACGUGCCAGCAGCCGCGGUAAUACGUAGGUGGCAAGCGUUAUCCGGAAUUAUUGGGCGUAAAGCGCGCGUAGGCGGUUUUUUAAGUCUGAUGUGAAAGCCCACGGCUCAAACGUGGAGGGUCAUUGGAAACUGGAAAACUUGAGUGCAGAAGAGGAAAGUGGAAUUCCAUGUGUAGCGGUGAAAUGCGCAGAGAUAUGGAGGAACACCAGUGGCGAAGGCGACUUUCUGGUCUGUAACUGACGCUGAUGUGCGAAAGCGUGGGGAUCAAACAGG
This 429-nucleotide ribosomal RNA is filed under the name Actinomycetes bacterium. RNAcentral's name for it is "Actinobacteria bacterium partial 16S ribosomal RNA". It matches the Rfam family "Bacterial small subunit ribosomal RNA", at positions 355 to 776 of the family's 1533-position model. The record is from RNAcentral. Lineage: Bacteria; Bacillati; Actinomycetota; Actinomycetes.